This 436-nucleotide long non-coding RNA is filed under the name Gossypium barbadense (sea-island cotton). RNAcentral's name for it is "long non-coding RNA (GBAR_LNC020017)". Lineage: Eukaryota; Viridiplantae; Streptophyta; Magnoliopsida; Malvales; Malvaceae. The record is from RNAcentral.
AUCACCAUAAAUAGUAGAAAUGGAAUUAGAGGGUUAAUGAUAUAUAUAAUUAAAUAUUAUCAAGUCUAUUUUUACAUGAAAGAAACGGUGUAGGCAAAGGAAUUUUAUAUUUUGAGAUAUUUAAAUUUUAGUGAGACAGGGUCAGAAUGGUUUUUGAAGUCCCCUGUUCUAACUUUAGAAAAUCAUUAUAAAUUGUACAGAAAUAAUUAUAGGUCAUAAUUUAUAUUUUUAGAUUCCUUAGUGAGUCUAUUUUCAAAAUAAAUUAAUGGUAACCUUAUAUGAAUUCUGUACAAUUAGAUAUUUGAUUUUUAGCGCCAAGAGGUCAGAUCUGUCGAGCUGUGAAACAGGGGAUACUUUAAUGAAUAAACUGUACUAAUGUGCUAAGUCAAAAAUUCUGAAAAUUUUAUGGUAAGUAGGAAUAUGAGUCUAGUUUCAC